UGGCAUAACAAACUGCUAUGAACUUGGUGU
RNAcentral lists this non-coding RNA (30 nucleotides) under Homo sapiens (human). Lineage: Eukaryota; Metazoa; Chordata; Mammalia; Primates; Hominidae. The record is from RNAcentral.